RNAcentral lists this ribosomal RNA (496 nucleotides) under Bugula ingens. RNAcentral describes it as "partial 16S ribosomal RNA". It matches the Rfam family "Bacterial large subunit ribosomal RNA", at positions 1808 to 2621 of the family's 2925-position model. Lineage: Eukaryota; Metazoa; Bryozoa; Gymnolaemata; Cheilostomatida; Bugulidae. The record is from RNAcentral.
CAAAAACAUAGCUUCCUGAAACUAUAAGAAGUAUCGUCUGCCCGGUGACUAAGUUUAACGGCCGCGAAAGUGCUAAGGUAGCAUAUAAUUUGCCUUUUUAUUGGAGGCUAGUAUGAAUGGAUUAACGAAGCUUAACUGUCUCUAACUAAAACUUAAAAAUUGAUUCAUAAGUGAAAAAUCUUAUAUAUAAGUGAUGGACGAAAAGACCCUGUAGAGUUUAAGUAAAAUCUAAAAACAAUUGAUAUACUUUUAUUGGGGCAAUAAAAGAACACAAAAACUCUUUUAAUUAAAAUUUAUUAUAAUAAAUGUAAUGAUCCUCCAAGAGAAAAAAGAAAAACUACCUCAGGGAUAACAGCGUAAUUCUUCCUGAGAGACCUGAUCGAAGGAAGAGUUUGCGACCUCGAUGUUGGACUAAGGUAACUAUUAAAUGCAGAAGUUUAAUAAAGUAAGCCUGUUCGGCUUUUAAUACCUUACAUGAUUUGGGUUCAUUCCGUAA